GAUGAACGCUGGCGGCGUGCCUAAUACAUGCAAGUCGAGCGAACAGAUAAGGAGCUUGCUCCUUUGACGUUAGCGGCGGACGGGUGAGUAACACGUGGGUAACCUACCUAUAAGACUGGAAUAACUCCGGGAAACCGGGGCUAAUGCCGGAUAACAUUUAGAACCGCAUGGUUCUAAAGUGAAAGAUGGUUUUACUAUCACUUAUAGAUGGACCCGCGCCGUAUUAGCUAGUUGGUAAGGUAACGGCUUACCAAGGCAACGAUACGUAGCCGACCUGAGAGGGAGAUCGGCCACACUGGAACUGAGACACGGUCCAGACUCCUACGGGAGGCAGCAGUAGGGAAUCUUCCGCAAUGGGCGAAAGCCUGACGGAGCAACGCCGCGUGAGUGAUGAAGGUCUUCGGAUCGUAAAACUCUGUUAUUAGGGAAGAACAAAUGUGUAAGUAACUGUGAACGUCUUGACGGUACCUAAUCAGAAAGCCACGGCUAACUACGUG
This 497-nucleotide ribosomal RNA is filed under the name uncultured bacterium. Its description in RNAcentral is "partial 16S ribosomal RNA". It matches the Rfam family "Bacterial small subunit ribosomal RNA", at positions 28 to 507 of the family's 1533-position model. The record is from RNAcentral.